UGCAUUUGUUUUUUAAAUGUACUUAAGGUGCGUUUAUGAUAUCCAUGACCAGAAAAUUGAGUUGCUCGUUGAGAAGUCCCAGACUGCCCCACAAAGCAGCCAGCCAGAAUUAAGUCGAUGAUUGUCAAGAUAGAAGUAUAUCUGGUUACAGAAAUAACUAGAGAAGUAGUUCUAUCAAUGGAACCCUCGGGGAAAAAACUGCAGUAACCAGCUAACAAUUUGUAGGGUAGGGUUGCUUCAUGUGUUAUUGUAUAGAAUAGAACUGGGAUUUUCUUUCCCAGUAACUUUAUAAACCUCGGGAAUUGAUUGUCUUUUCUUUUUGUUGGGGACAGAUAUUCAUAUGAAUUCUGCAAUAUUCUUCUUACAGUCUUGAUGUUGUAGAGAAUUCCACCAAGU
RNAcentral lists this unclassified non-coding RNA (396 nucleotides) under Hevea brasiliensis (rubber tree). Lineage: Eukaryota; Viridiplantae; Streptophyta; Magnoliopsida; Malpighiales; Euphorbiaceae. The record is from RNAcentral.